ACGCACGCUGGCUGCGUGCUUCACACAUGCAAUUCGAACGGAAAGGCCCCUUUGGGGGUACUCGAGUGGCGAACGGGUGAGUAACACGUGAGUAACCUGCCCUUGACUUCGGGAUAACUUCAGGAAACUGGGGCUAAUACCGGAUAGGAAUCCUUGCUGCAUGGUGGGGGUUGGAAAGCUUCGGCGGUUUUGGAUGGACUCGCGGCUUAUCAGCUUGUUGGUGGGGUAGUGGCUUACCAAGGCUUUGACGGGUAGCCGGCCUGAGAGGGCGACCGGCCACAUUGGGACUGAGAUACGGCCCAGACUCCUACGGGAGGCAGCAGUGGGGAAUAUUGCACAAUGGGCGGAAGCCUGAUGCAGCAACGCCGCGUGCGGGAUGACGGCCUUCGGGUUGUAAACCGCUUUCAGCAGGGGCGAAGCUUGUGGUGACGGUACCUGCAGAAGAAGCACCGGCUAACUACGUG
Molecule: ribosomal RNA, 464 nt
Filed under: uncultured bacterium
Lineage: Bacteria
Description: partial 16S ribosomal RNA
Rfam family: Bacterial small subunit ribosomal RNA
Source: RNAcentral